CAGGGCCCACCGGGGAAGUGAGAAGGCGGGGUCUUUGGGCUUGUUUUUUCCUGUGCUGGCGGUGGUGAGAAAGAGGUGAGGGUCGGGAAGAGUGAGUCCUUAAGCGGGAACAAUGGAGUUAAGGUUGAGCGAUCGCCCCACACCUGUCUCACCGAGGGGCCCGGACAGGUCGUCGGGCAAGCUUUCCUCCUUGUGGGCUUGACACUCUCUCCAGGACUUUAUUGAAAGUCUGACAAGAUUGGAUAGAGAUGAGGGAAGUGGACGCUUGGGAGCGAACACUGGCAUGUCCGGUUUUAAGGCGAAUGGCAAGAGGAGAGGCCGGAGCUGCCUGGGGCAGGAAGUGACCAUGCCAGUGCGGUGGUGAGGGCGCUCCCAGGGUGCCCAAGGAGUCCUGGGUCUAAAGUGCUCCCUCUGCUAAAUAUUUCCUCCCCCUGGAUUCCGUUUCAUAUAUUUUUCUUCUAUUUAUUAAUAAGUUUAUUCUCCGAAAACAGUUUAUUGUGUGUGUGUUUCCUAACUACUUUGAAUAACUCUAGAUAUAUUGGGUUUACUUUCUGGUUUCAAAACCUAGUUUUUAUCUGCCUAAGAUUUAAUGAAGAAACUUGUAGAAACUUCAGAACAAUUCAUUUUAUGGUAGGCUGAAGCUUUGGGGUAGCAACUUCCAAAAUUUUUGUUUGUUCCAAAGAUUAUUUUGAUUUUUAAUUCUUUUAGAAGACACUUUUCAGGGGCAGUUUUUUGCUUAGCCUAAGGAGAAGGGCGGUGGCGUAAGCAAUCUUUGUCUGAUAAUACUGUAAGCAGUGUGUACAUGACAGCGAGCUCUACGUAUCUGAAUGUACUAAAAGGAACCCCACUUUGAACACUAAAACUUGUUGGUUCAUUAGCUUGUCUUCUAGAGUGGGAGAAAGACUUUAUUUUUCCGCUAUACUGUCAAAACUUUUCAAAAGCAAACUCCUGUAAUUUAUUCAGGUUUAAAAAGAGGUAGCGCAUGCACAUUGGUUUUCACUUCACUUUGCUGUCAGUUCAGCUUGUUUACAAUUCAUAAAACAAUUGUUCAUUCAUUCAAAAAGAUAAAAUACUUUUCAAAGUUUCUCAGAUUUCCUUUAUGAAGAGGACACUUAUUUUAGGAGGACAAACAUACUGUUUAAGAUUUAAGUAGCUAAAAACUGGCAGUAUGAAAGAAGAUCUGAAGGCAAAGGAAGACUUUGGACCGUGAUGAAUUUCCUACCUGUUCUUUUUAAUGAGUACAUGAUUGUGUCACUACAAAUGUAGUAUAUUAGUCUUUACUGAAGAUUUAUUGUAAAUGAUUUUCUAUUUUUUACUUCUUUAAAUCCUUUGCCAUGGCUAAAAAUGUCAAAUGGAGAAAAAAAGUAAAAGCAUGUCAUAAGGGCUUUCCUAUAUCACCUGUAUUAGGGAGGCAUUUCCCCCUUUGCCAAGUGAUUGAAAGAAAAUAUAGACAAGUAUUUAAUUUUUUGCAUUUGUGCAGGAGAUAGAAGUCAUGGUUUGUCAUCAUUCUUUUUGUUAACUGUUUUUUUGCUUAUGUUUGCUAUUCUUAUUUUGCAUUUUAACUUUAGGAUAUUCAGUUUUCCUUGAUUAAAAACACUUUAGUCACAAGUUCCACCUGCAUGGUAACUCUUCAAAGACAGCAUAAACAUAUGAGGGAUAUGUGCAUGAACAGGGAAAGAUGAUUUGGAAAUUUGAUCAUUCUUCCAUUUGUCUGGCUUUCUGAGUGAUUUACAGCAUAAAAAUAGGUAAUUUUAAAGGAGUCUGCAUUUCCAUGUAUUGGCAUUACCAGUAAUUCUCUGUUCCAAAUUACAUUAAUGUGUUUCUUUUUUCUUCAUAAAACUUAGAUAAAGUUCAGGCUUUCUUGAGUCAGUGACUUUUUAAAUUUCAAAUAUUUAAUUUAUUAUAUAUUAUUUUUAACUUGCUA
Tupaia belangeri chinensis (Chinese tree shrew) is the source of this 1924-nucleotide long non-coding RNA. RefSeq lists it as uncharacterized. The record is from RefSeq and is a predicted model, not a curated record. The transcript has 2 exons. Lineage: Eukaryota; Metazoa; Chordata; Mammalia; Scandentia; Tupaiidae.